This 718-nucleotide ribosomal RNA is filed under the name uncultured Acidobacteriaceae bacterium. RNAcentral's name for it is "bacterial SSU rRNA". It matches the Rfam family "Bacterial small subunit ribosomal RNA", at positions 363 to 1070 of the family's 1533-position model. Lineage: Bacteria; Pseudomonadati; Acidobacteriota; Terriglobia; Terriglobales; Acidobacteriaceae. The record is from RNAcentral.
UUUGGGCAAUGGGCGAAAGCCUGACCCAGCAACGCCGCGUGAAGGAUGAAAUCCUUCGGGAUGUAAACUUCGCAAGAACGGGAAGAAUAAGUGAGGGUUAAUAUCCCUCAUGAUGACGGUACUGUUUGUAAGCUCCGGCUAACUCCGUGCCAGCAGCCGCGGUAAUACGGGGGGAGCAAGCGUUGUUCGGAUUUACUGGGCGUAAAGGGCGCGUAGGCGGCCACUGCAAGUCGGUUGUGAAAUCUCCGGGCUUAACCCGGAAAGGUCAAUCGAUACUGCAGGGCUAGAGUGCAGAAGGGGCAACUGGAAUUCUCGGUGUAGCGGUGAAAUGCGUAGAUAUCGAAAGGAACACCUGCGGCGAAGGCGGGUUGCUGGGCUGACACUGACGCUGAAGUGCGAAAGCUAGGGGAGCGAACGGGAUUAGAUACCCCGGUAGUCCUAGCCUUAAACGAUGAAUGCUUGGUGUCUGGGGUUUUAUAGUCCCCGGGUGCCGUCGCUAACGCUUUAAGCAUUCCGCCUGGGGAGUACGGUCGCAAGACUGAAACUCAAAGGAAUUGACGGGGACCCGCACAAGCGGUGGAGCAUGUGGUUUAAUUCGACGCAACGCGAAGAACCUUACCUGGGCUAGAAUGCCUCUGACCGCCCUAGAGAUAGGGUUUCCUGGGUAAAACCAGGCAGAGUGCAAGGUGCUGCAUGGCUGUCGUCAGCUCGUCGGAGA